This 253-nucleotide ribosomal RNA is filed under the name uncultured bacterium. RNAcentral describes it as "partial 16S ribosomal RNA". It matches the Rfam family "Bacterial small subunit ribosomal RNA", at positions 524 to 776 of the family's 1533-position model. The record is from RNAcentral.
UACAGAGGUCCCGAGCGUUGUUCGGAUUUAUUGGGCGUAAAGCGCACGUAGGUGGCGACGUAAGUCGGGUGUGAAAGCCCCGGGCUCAACCUGGGAAUUGCAUUCGAGACUGCAUUGCUGGAGUACGGAAGAGGAAGGCGGAAUUCCCGGUGUAGCGGUGAAAUGCGUAGAUAUCGGGAGGAACAUCAGUGGCGAAGGCGGCCUUCUGGUCCAGUACUGACACUGAGGAGCGAAAGCCAGGGGAGCAAACGGG